GAUGAACGCUGGCGGCGUGCUUAACACAUGCAAGUCGAACGGAAAGGCCGAAGCUUGCUUCGGUACUCGAGUGGCGAACGGGUGAGUAACACGUGGGUGAUCUGCCCUGUACUUCGGGAUAAGCUUGGGAAACUGGGUCUAAUACCGGAUAUGACGAUCUCUUGGAUGGGGUUGUGGAAAGCUUUUGCGGUAUGGGAUGAGCUCGCGGCCUAUCAGCUUGUUGGUGGGGUAAUGGCCUACCAAGGCGUCGACGGGUAGCCGGCCUGAGAGGGUGUACGGCCACUUUGGGACUGGGGAACGGCCCAGACCCCUACGGGGGGGAGUGGGGGGGAAUAUUGCAAAAUGGGGGAAACCCUGAUGCAGGGACGCCGCGGGGGGGAUGCGGGCCUUCGGGUUGGAAACUCCUUUCGCAAUCGAAGAAGCCUUUUGGGGAGGGUAGGUUGAAAAGAAGCCCCGGCUACCUACGU
RNAcentral lists this ribosomal RNA (467 nucleotides) under uncultured bacterium. Its description in RNAcentral is "partial 16S ribosomal RNA". It matches the Rfam family "Bacterial small subunit ribosomal RNA", at positions 28 to 506 of the family's 1533-position model. The record is from RNAcentral.